RNAcentral lists this ribosomal RNA (253 nucleotides) under uncultured bacterium. Its description in RNAcentral is "partial 16S ribosomal RNA". It matches the Rfam family "Bacterial small subunit ribosomal RNA", at positions 524 to 776 of the family's 1533-position model. The record is from RNAcentral.
UACAGAGGUCCCGAGCGUUGUUCGGAUUCACUGGGUUUAAAGGGCGCGUAGGCGGCCAUCUAAGUCAGACGUGAAAUCCCCCGGCUUAACCUGGGAACUGCGUCUGAUACUGGACGGCUCGAGUUUGGGAGAGGGAUGUGGAAUUCCAGGUGUAGCGGUGAAAUGCGUAGAUAUCUGGAGGAACACCGGUGGCGAAGGCAGCAUCCUGGACCAACACUGACGCUGAGGCGCGAAAGCUAGGGGAGCAAACGGG